UACGUAGGGUGCGAGCGUUGUCCGGAAUUACUGGGCGUAAAGAGCUCGUAGGCGGUUUGUCACGUCGUCUGUGAAAUCCUAGGGCUUAACCCUGGACGUGCAGGCGAUACGGGCUGACUUGAGUACUACAGGGGAGACUGGAAUUUCUGGUGUAGCGGUGGAAUGCACAGAUAUCAGGAAGAACACCGAUGGCGAAGGCAGGUCUCUGGGUAGUAACUGACGCUGAGGAGCGAAAGCAUGGGUAGCGAAC
This 250-nucleotide ribosomal RNA is filed under the name uncultured bacterium. RNAcentral describes it as "partial 16S ribosomal RNA". It matches the Rfam family "Bacterial small subunit ribosomal RNA", at positions 524 to 773 of the family's 1533-position model. The record is from RNAcentral. RNAcentral also lists the same sequence under 1 other name.